RNAcentral lists this ribosomal RNA (1532 nucleotides) under Bacillus sp. EK-21. Its description in RNAcentral is "bacterial SSU rRNA". The stretch from base 1 to 937 matches the Rfam family "Bacterial small subunit ribosomal RNA", at positions 537 to 1533 of the family's 1533-position model. The record is from RNAcentral. Lineage: Bacteria; Bacillati; Bacillota; Bacilli; Caryophanales; Bacillaceae.
GGGAGCGUCCGGAUUAUGGGCGUAAGCGCGCGCAGGUGGUUUCUUAAGUCUGAUGUGAAAGCCCACGGCUCAACCGUGGAGGGUCAUUGGAAACUGGGAGACUUGAGUGCAGAAGAGGAUAGUGGAAUUCCAAGUGUAGCGGUGAAAUGCGUAGAGAUUUGGAGGAACACCAGUGGCGAAGGCGACUGUCUGGUCUGUAACUGACACUGAGGCGCGAAAGCGUGGGGAGCAAACAGGAUUAGAUACCCUGGUAGUCCACGCCGUAAACGAUGAGUGCUAAGUGUUAGGGGGUUUCCGCCCCUUAGUGCUGCAGCUAACGCAUUAAGCACUCCGCCUGGGGAGUACGACCGCAAGGUUGAAACUCAAAGGAAUUGACGGGGGCCCGCACAAGCGGUGGAGCAUGUGGUUUAAUUCGAAGCAACGCGAAGAACCUUACCAGGUCUUGACAUCCCAGUGACCGCUCUAGAGAUAGAGUUUUCCCUUCGGGGACAUUGGUGACAGGUGGUGCAUGGUUGUCGUCAGCUCGUGUCGUGAGAUGUUGGGUUAAGUCCCGCAACGAGCGCAACCCUUAAUCUUAGUUGCCAUCAUUUAGUUGGGCACUCUAAGGUGACUGCCGGUGACAAACCGGAGGAAGGUGGGGAUGACGUCAAAUCAUCAUGCCCCUUAUGACCUGGGCUACACACGUGCUACAAUGGACGGUACAAAGAGUCGCUAACUCGCGAGAGUACGCUAAUCUCAUAAAACCGUUCUCAGUUCGGAUUGUAGGCUGCAACUCGCCUACAUGAAGCCGGAGGCGGCGUGCCUAAUACAUGCAAGUCGAGCGAAUGAUGAGGAGCUUGCUCCUCUGAUUUAGCGGCGGACGGGUGAGUAACACGUGGGCAACCUGCCCUGUAGACUGGGAUAACUUCGGGAAACCGGAGCUAAUACCGGAUAAUCCAUUUCACCUCAUGGUGAAAUGUUGAAAGACGCCAUCAAGCGUCACUACAGGAUGGGCCCGCGGUGCAUUAGCUAGUUGGUGGGGUAACGGCCUACCAAGGCAACGAUGCAUAGCCGACCUGAGAGGGUGAUCGGCCACAUUGGGACUGAGACACGGCCCAAACUCCUACGGGAGGCAGCAGUAGGGAAUCUUCCACAAUGGACGAAAGUCUGAUGGAGCAACGCCGCGUGAGUGAUGAAGGUUUUCGGAUCGUAAAACUCUGUUGUAAGGGAAGAACAAGUACGUUAGGAAAUGAACGUACCUUGACGGUACCUUAUUAGAAAGCCACGGCUAACUACGUGCCAGCAGCCGCGGUAAUACGUAGGUGGCAAGCGUUGUCCGGAUUUAUUGGGCGUAAAGCGCGCGCAGGUGGUUUCUUAAGUCUGAUGUGAAAGCCCACGGCUCAACCGUGGAGGGUCAUUGGAAACUGGGAGACUUGAGUGCAGAAGAGGAUAGUGGAAUUCCAAGUGUAGCGGUGAAAUGACGUAGAGAUUUGGAGGAACACCAGUGGCGAAGGCGACUGUCUGGUCGUAACGACAUGAGCGAAGAGCUGCCC